GGCAGUCAGACACCGCCAUCGAAGACUGCAUGCACGACACAGACGGAGGACCUUUUACUGCUUCCCACACUGGAAGAAAUUACAUGCUCUGAAGCCCUAGUCCUGUAAGAAAAUCCGCAGAGAUUUGCCUUUCUGUGCCAACAUGCUGACCCACUGCACAACAGCACUCUACUAAAGAUGCACCUUCACUCUGGGCUGCCAGCUCAGGCCUCUAGGGUGGGCAUCGGCUGACUGCUACGAAUAUUUAUCUUGCAGAUGUAGAUAUAUCUUCGCUCAGGAUGAGCAUGCUAGUUUACCAGUAUCUUAU
Molecule: non-coding RNA, 307 nt
Organism: Pelobates cultripes (western spadefoot toad)
Lineage: Eukaryota; Metazoa; Chordata; Amphibia; Anura; Pelobatidae
Source: the annotation of a GenBank genome assembly